UAUGGUGGAUGCCUUGGCGUCAGGUGCUGAAGAAGGGCGUGGUAAGCUGCGAAAAGCCUCGGGUAGCCGCAAACAGGCGUUAAUCCGGGGAUACCCGAAUGGGGAAACCCGACUGGGCUAAAACCCAGUCAAUCCUUACUGAAUCCAUAGGUAAGGAUGAGCAACCGGGAGAACUGAAACAUCUUAGUACCCCGAGGAACAGAAAACAACCGUGAUUCCCCAAGUAGCGGCGAGCGAACGGGGAACAGCCCAAACCUUAAACGUGUCAAGACUGUACUCGUUGCGUUUAAGGGGUCGAGGGACGUAAGAGGGAUCCGGUACAGCGGAUCCGGUGAGCAAAAAGGCUCCCCCUUAGGGGAAUAGACCUGGAAAGGUCAACCGAAGAGAGCAACAGUCUCGUACCCGAAAAGGAGAGCACUCACCUGUUACGAACCCAAGUACUGCGGGGCACGUGAAAUCCUGCAGGAAUUAGGGAGGACCACCUCCUAAGGCUAAAUACUACCUGACGACCGAUAGUGAACGAGUACCGUGAGGGAAAGGUGAAAAGCACCCCGGGAGGGGAGUGAAAAAGAACCUGAAACCAUAUGCUGACAAGCAGUCAGAGUCUAGCUAUAAGCUGGAUCAUGGCGUACUUUUUGUAGAACGGACCGGCGAGUUGCGAUAUGCAGCGAGGUUAAAGCUUAAAAGGCUGGAGCCGCAGCGAAAGCGAGUCUGAAGAGGGCGAAAGAGUUGCAUAGCGCAGACCCGAAACCGGGUGAGCUACCCAUGGGCAGGGUGAAGCGAGACUAACCCUCUCGUGGAGGCCCGAACCGAACCGUCGUUGAAAAGCCGGCGGAUGACCUGUGGGUAGGAGUGAAAAGCUAAACGAACCCGGAGAUAGCUGGUUCUCCCCCGAAAUAGCUUUAGGCUAGCCUCGAGGGAUACGUUAUGGGGUAGAGCACUUGAUCAGCUAGGGGCGUCGACCACGUUACCGAACCUUUCAAACUCCGAAUACCAUAAA
Molecule: non-coding RNA, 1000 nt
Filed under: Syntrophaceticus schinkii
Lineage: Bacteria; Bacillati; Bacillota; Clostridia; Thermoanaerobacterales; Thermoanaerobacterales Family III. Incertae Sedis
Description: Bacterial large subunit ribosomal RNA
Rfam family: Bacterial large subunit ribosomal RNA
Source: Rfam by way of RNAcentral